CAUUAAAAAUUAAACUCAGAAUUACAAUGAACCUUGGCUGAAAACAUGCUCCCUAUGGUCAGCAUACAUGUUCUAUAUUUCUUGCUUGUGAACGUAUAUCUUUAUGAAAGCAGGCUACCUUGGUUGUUGAUGUUUGAGAUAUGGCAUGAUAAAAUGAACCUUGCUCUUUUUCUGUCCAAAUUACUUGGGAAAUUUAUCUUGAAAAACAAUGACCUAGCUAGCCCCUCAAUGAUAUGCCUCCAUCCUACCAGAGCCAUAUGUUGAUCUUAUUGAAAAACCUAUACAUAUAUGCUACUUGCUAUCAUAUUGAGCUUUGCCAAAUUGUUAUGAUCCUUGUGGAAUAUGCUUCAUACUUUCAUGAUCAAGAUCAAGAACACGUACACUCCAUUUCUGCAUACUAGACUUAGACACUGGAAGCUGGUAACAUCCCAUCCAUCCACCCCCCAAAUAAAGCUCCACAUGUGUUGUGACCUCUCUCUCCAAAAAUACCCUUGCAAAAGAGACAUGGGCUAUGCAAAAAGAAAAUAAAAAAGGGAGCCAUGCUCAAAGCAUGAUGAAAAAAGGAGAAAGAGAAAAAGAUAGCCCAUGUCCAAAACAAAGAGAAAAAGGAGACAGAUGGAAUCAUACAAAAGGAGUUCAUACACCUUUCCACCAUAUUCUAUCCACACACUUUCACAUCUUGAUCAAAUUUUAUGAUUUGUAUUCUACUUGGA
This 713-nucleotide long non-coding RNA is filed under the name Setaria viridis. RNAcentral describes it as "long non-coding RNA (SVIR_LNC001748)". The record is from RNAcentral. Lineage: Eukaryota; Viridiplantae; Streptophyta; Magnoliopsida; Poales; Poaceae.